GAUGUAUCUAUACAAUGAGAAAGUUGC
This 27-nucleotide small RNA is filed under the name Bombyx mori (domestic silkworm). RNAcentral describes it as "ovarian small RNA-16168". The record is from RNAcentral. Lineage: Eukaryota; Metazoa; Arthropoda; Insecta; Lepidoptera; Bombycidae.